RNAcentral lists this ribosomal RNA (245 nucleotides) under uncultured archaeon. RNAcentral describes it as "partial 16S ribosomal RNA". It matches the Rfam family "Archaeal small subunit ribosomal RNA", at positions 474 to 718 of the family's 1478-position model. The record is from RNAcentral.
CACCAGCGCCACUAGUGGGAAUCAGAUUUAUUGGGCCUAAAGCGUCCGUAGCCGGGUUAUUAAAUCCUUUGUGAAAUUGUCAGGCUUAACUUGACAGCGUGCAGGGGAGACUGGUAACCUUGGGACCGGGAGGAGUGCGGGGUAUUCCUUGGGGAGCGGUAAAAUGUUAUAAUCCUUGGAAGACCACCUGUGGCGAAGGCGCCGCACUAGAACGGAUCCGACGGUGAGGGACGAAAGCCAGGGGA